CGGGGAGAUGAAGGUCUGAGGCUCGGUUCUGUGAAACGUGACCAUGUGGAUUAAACAGCUCUUAGGAAUCAGUUCGAUGUCUGUCCACUGGUCGGGUUGCCCUAUAGGAAGCCAUGCUUGGAUACUUAUAGCCAUGUUUCAACUAGCCAUGGAUUUCCCCACCUGUGAAUCUCUAGCCCAAGGCCCAGAGUUCAGGCUCUUGCCUCGGCCUUUCCACAAUCCUAGAUUGUGGAAUUUUAAGAAUGGACUGGCAACGAAGAUCCCUACCCCUUUAUGGAACCUUCUUUCAUUCCGUCCUGAGCGUGCACAUGGACAAAUACGAACAUAUCAUUCCAGAGUGACCCACAGGACCAGGGACCAGGGGGACAUCCCUUUGAAAAGUGGGCCAUCGAAACACCCAGAAGCUGCCAAAUUCAACCCUUCCAUUCCGUCCUUGGUGGGCAGUGGGAGCAUAGAACAGCAGAAACCUUUAAGAAGAGACAAAAGGCAUCUACAAGGGGAUAGUUUGAAUAAUUUUGACUUCAGAGGGAACAAACCCACAGUGGAAACUGAAUUCAUUGCCUGGGGUCCCACAGGGGAAGAAGAGUCUGUAGAAUCUAGCACAUCUCCUGGGAUUUAUGGCCCCACCACUGUCUCCAUUUUACAAACCAGAAAGACAACUGUGGCCACUACCACCACCACUACCACAAGCUAUGUCACUCUACAAACUAAGGGAUUCAUGGAGUCCCUUAGUCCUGGGAUUAUUAAGAACAACCCUAACUAUCCGGGUAGGAUUAGCACAACAGAAGCCUCCACUGUUCCCAACAGCAAUGGCAAAGACAUCACGCCACCACGGAUUCUGGAGCCCUCGGGUCUGGCUGUCCAUCAGAUAAUAACCAUCACUGUCUCCCUCAUCAUGGUUAUAGCUGCUCUGAUUACAACUCUUGUCUUAAAAAAUUGCUGUGCACAAAGUGGAAACACUCGGAGAAACAGUCACCAACGGAAAAUCAAUCAGCAAGAAGAAAGUUGCCAAAAUCUGACGGAUUUCACUCCUGCCCGUGUGCCCAGCAACUUGGAUAUAUUUACCGCCUAUAAUGAAACCCUGCAGUGCUCACAUGAGUGUGUUAGGACCUCUGUGCCCGUGUAUACUGAUGAGACUUUGCACCCAACUGGGGAGUAUAAAAACCACCUUUAAUGGAAACAGCACGCGCAAGCCUAUUUUUCUGCUCGCUGCAGACCUUCUUCUUCUGAUCGACAUCUAAUUCCUGUGGCCUUUGUGUCUGAGAAAUGGUUUGAAAUCUCCUGCUGACUGGCCGAAGUCUCUUUUACUUCCUGGGGGCAGGGCAGACGCCAUGUGUCUAUUUCCUGGAUUCCGUUGGUGAACCUGUAAAAAACAAAAAAAAAAAAUGAAAAAAAUGAAAAAAAAAAAAACAACAAAAAAAAAACAAACAAAAAAAAGCCCUAAGACUAAAAACUGGGAAGAAUGUCCCUAAACCUACCAUUUCUGUUUGCCAGUGGAGAUCUCAUGGAGCAGAACUCUAUAGGCCAAAUAUAUUUUUAUAAAAAAAAAAAUGAACGUGCCUAUAGGCAACCUUCAUCGUCCCCAAGGAAUUUUUUUGAAGGGGAAGAAGAGAAAAGUUUCCAGAAAUAAGGGGAAAAAUGAUUCUCUGAAGACUUAAGGAAGAAAAGGAGACCAAGUGCAAAGAACAAGGUGGACAGCCUGGAGAUGUGGAUUUAAAUAAUGAUUCUGAACCUGUGCCAAUAACACCAUUACGUGCCAUGUAUUGAGCUGAAAGAUUUUGUUUCAAACAUGAAGCUAAGUUAAUUACACAUAGAAAUAUUACAGAAAACAGGGUUGGGGGUUUCUCUUCUGAGACAGUCAAUAUUUCUGGUUAAUAUACAUAUAUAAAUAUAUAAAUACAUACACGGACACACACACACAAAGACACCUUUUUGUACUGUAGCAAUUUUUGAAGCUCUUAAAUGUUCCUUUUUAAAGAAAAAAUGUGUCAUGGGUUACAGAAUCUGAUUUAUUUAACAUGCUUAGUAUGGACUAAAUAAACUGGUGUUUUUUACUUCGG
Molecule: non-coding RNA, 2060 nt
Organism: Phascolarctos cinereus (koala)
Lineage: Eukaryota; Metazoa; Chordata; Mammalia; Diprotodontia; Phascolarctidae
Source: RefSeq, a predicted model, not a curated record